ACGUAGGGGGCAAGCGUUGUUCGGAAUUACUGGGCGUAAAGGGCAUGUAGGCGGUUUAGUAAGCUUGGCGUGAAAGACCACAGCUCAACUGUGGGGUUGCGUUGAGAACUGCUGAACUUGAGUUACGGAGAGGGAGCUAGAAUUCCUGGUGUAAGGGUGGAAGUUGUAGAGAGCAGUAAGAGUACCGAUGUGGAAGGCAAGCUUCUGGCCGAUAACUGACGCUGAGGUGCAAAAGUGUUGGGAUCAAACAG
Molecule: ribosomal RNA, 251 nt
Filed under: uncultured prokaryote
Description: partial 16S rRNA
Rfam family: Bacterial small subunit ribosomal RNA
Source: RNAcentral